AAAAAAAAAAGUCGAAAAUGUAACUUGAAUCAAUACGUUUGCUACUGCUUCAGCUAACACGGGAGUGAUUAGGAAGACAAAAGUUACGUUUGCUACUUCACAAACACACUAAAGAGGUGCAGUCUUUUACAUCACAAUACACUUGUCUUUUGAUGACUUGGGAUCUGGCUUGGGGGACGAAGACAUAAUUCUCGAGCUGUUGCUUGGUACCUGAGGACCAGUAAUCAACCUUGGCCGAUCAUUAAAAGCUGGUUGCUGGGGGUUCUGAUUUCUCGGUGGUGCCUGUUGAUGUUGUUGAUCAAAUUCCUGUUGCUGAAGAGCUAUUGCCAAUUGUAGAUCAGAAUUGAAAGUUGGAUGUCCUUGCUCUGUGUCCACGCUUGCCAGAAAGUUUGCAGUACUGUCCAUAGCACUCUGUUGAUCCCAUGUGGUGUUGGCAUUAUCUUCGACCUUGAAUUCCUUGAAAUUGCUAGUCACAUAUAUCGUGUUUCCAUUCACCUCGUUGAAUUUCUCCCAAACCAAAUCAGGCUGAUUAAUAAAUCCUUGGUCAGUGGCCAAAAUGUAUAAUUCGCCUUCAAACUUAAACAUAGUAUUGAAAUGAUUAUUCCUGAAGAAAACACAAAGUUCUCUCUCUUUCAAACCCUCUUGCAAGGAAAACAAUCCAAAGAUUGUUAACUGACUUGCACUGUUCUUCAGAAAGUUCCUCACCAGUUCGCCUUCUUUCUGUGUGAUUUCAUCCUUCGCGAUUAUCGCAGGCACAUCUCUACUGCCUCCAUUCACUUGUUCAGCAAGAACCACCUCGCCUUCAUACAUAGGCUCUCGACUUUGGUAACUUGUGGUUGCUGACUCCAAUAUGCAAUCCUCUCCUUCAUACAUGGGUUCAUCGCCAUCUAUGGAAGAAUUAAAGGUUUCAGCUUCAUCUGUGUCAUGUCCUCUACCAUCAGAUGAAUCUGUGGCUGCAGAUGGUAUCGACAAACUUGAUGAAUCAAAC
Molecule: unclassified non-coding RNA, 988 nt
Filed under: Hevea brasiliensis (rubber tree)
Lineage: Eukaryota; Viridiplantae; Streptophyta; Magnoliopsida; Malpighiales; Euphorbiaceae
Source: RNAcentral